UCACCCGUCUUAUAGCUGUUAUGGGUUGCGACCGAGCUUAGCCUUGUUCAUUUUUUUACACAAUAGGGCUGUAAAAAAUUGAACACGCCUCACUGAGCACCGCGCCGGCAGCGGUCGCAAGCCGCUUCAGAAUGCCCUGGAACGCCCCAAAAUUGGCCAUGCAGACCUUUUUUAGGGCAG
Molecule: small RNA, 180 nt
Filed under: Pseudomonas indica
Lineage: Bacteria; Pseudomonadati; Pseudomonadota; Gammaproteobacteria; Pseudomonadales; Pseudomonadaceae
Description: Pseudomonas sRNA P1
Rfam family: Pseudomonas sRNA P1
About the family: There appears to be two related copies of P1 sRNA in the P.aeruginosa PA01 genome and both copies appear to be located upstream of predicted glutamine synthetase genes. This sRNA appears to be conserved amongst several Pseudomonas species. P1 has a predicted Rho independent terminator at the 3' end but the function of P1 is unknown.
Source: Rfam by way of RNAcentral